RNAcentral lists this non-coding RNA (778 nucleotides) under Arcte coerula. The record is from RNAcentral. Lineage: Eukaryota; Metazoa; Arthropoda; Insecta; Lepidoptera; Erebidae.
AAUAAAUUUUUUAUGGUUUGUGAAUUUUAUUAUAAGUUUAUUUUACAUAUAAAUUUUAGUGUUAAAUUUAAAUUAUUUUAAUAAUAAUUUAUUUAAUUAAGUAGUAAUUAAUAUUAAAUAUUUAAGAAAUUAAGAUUUAGUAAUAUUUUAAUUAAUAACAAAUUUUGUGCCAGCAGUUGCGGUUAUACAAAAGUUAAAUUAAAAUUUAUUAGUAAUUAAUAUAUAAAUUGAAUUUAUAAGGAAAUUUUAAAUUAUUAAGUGAAAUUUUAAUUUAAUAUAAAUUAUAUUAAUAUUUAUGAUUUAAUAAAUUUUAUAAAAGACUAGGAUUAGAUACCCUAUUAUUAAAAAUUAAAUUUAUAAUACUAAAAUAGUAAAUAAUUAUUUAUUGAAACUUAAAUAAUUUGGCGGUAUUUUAGUUCAUUUAGAGGAAUCUGUUUAAUAAUUGAUAAUCCACGAAUAAAUUUACUUAAUUUAUAAUUUUGUAUAUCGUUGUUAAAAAAAUAUUUUUUAAUAAAAUUAAUAUUUAAAAAUUUUUAUAUAAAAUUAAAUCAGAUCAAGAUGCAGAUUAUAAUUAAGAAUAUAAUGGAUUACAAUAAAUUUAUUUAAAUGAAUUUUAUUUUGUAAAAAUAAAUGAAGGUGGAUUUAAAUGUAAUUUUAAUUAAUUUAUUAAAAUGAUUAAAAAUUAAAAUAUGUACAUAUUGCCCGUCGCUUUCAUAUGAUAAUAAGUUGGAAUAAGUCGUAACAAAGUAGAGGUACUGGAAAGUGUUUCUAGUAAGAA